This 41555-nucleotide long non-coding RNA is filed under the name Physcomitrium patens. RNAcentral's name for it is "long non-coding RNA (PPAT_LNC011147)". Lineage: Eukaryota; Viridiplantae; Streptophyta; Bryopsida; Funariales; Funariaceae. The record is from RNAcentral.
UUUUUUUUUUUUUUAUUGAUUGUUUAAAUGCCUUAAUCAAGUGACUACACAUUUAAUAAGGUGAUAAAUAAAUUCAUCAUAUUCAUUCAAGGUGAAGAAAAUAAAACAAUUCAUGGUUUUUAUGAUUGUUUAUAGAGUUGUUAAUUUCUCAGCCUGGUUUGUCAAGCUUCUAGUUUGUAGUUGCUUUAGUUUUUUUUUUUUUUUAUUUGUUCUAAAGAAGAAGAAUUGUGUUUAUAUAGGCUAUUGUCAACAUAACUUUUGAUGCAAAUUUUUCUUGGAAUAGAAGUAGACAUAGUAUUUUUUAUAAAACUUCAUAGUAUAAAAUUUUAUAGUGUUGUUUCAAAGAAUAUCUAUAAAUGAUAGUAUAGCUUCUAAAAUUUAAGAUUAGAGAGUGAUAUCUAGAUGAAUAUUUUACAAAUAAAAUGGCCAAAUCUAUUGUUGAAUACUUCCCAUUUGUAUUUCCAGAUUGUGUUUUUUUACUUGUAUUGAGAAUUUUGAUGAUGUGUGUAUUUAUAAUCAUAUUGGAGAAUCCCAAAGCUAUUUUAUUCAAUAUGAAUAUCAUAGACAUAUAUAAUUAUUUAGAUAAGAAAUACUAGGUAGAAAAUAAAUGUAAAUAGAUUUGAUAUUAUCUUGUGGCAAAGCUUUUUAAAAGCUUUAUAAACACAUAUUUGAUUUUAUACAUAUUUAUAGUAUAAUAAAUAUAUUAUAUAAGAGACCAAAUAAGGAAUUGAACAAAAGAGUUUCAACAAGGAAGCUAGCAAGAACUUGAUUAAAUUUGACAAAUAUAAGAUCAAUACUAAGAGAGGUGAGUUAGAACUCCAAGAGAUAUAUUGUUGAGAUCAAGGAUCUCCUCAACUUCAAUUCCAAUAUAUACUAGGUAUUAGAAAGUUUUUCAAGAAUUUUCCAUGUUGCUUGAAGACAAAACAAUCCUAAAAAGCUUCUCGCACCACUUUUUUAAUCUUCUUAGAAUUUUUUAGAAUGUAUUGAAAUAUUUUAAGAACCUUUUAGAACCUUUUGAAAAUCUUUUCAAAACUUAUAUUAGAAUAUUUUAAAAAUAAUUUGAAAUCUUUUUAUUGGAUGUUUCAUAAUAGAAUAUUUUUAUAAUAUUUUUAAAAUUUAUUUAUUAAAUGUUUGUAAUAUUACCUCUCUUUUUAACUUUGAAUUCCAUAAAGAAUAUUAAUUUUAUAUCUAUAAUAAAAUAAUCAAAGCUUAAGCAUCAUCUUCAAAGUUUUCUUAUUUAAAUUGAUUAUAGUAUAGGCAUUUCUUCUAUUGAGAUUCUUUAAUAAAUUAUUUAAAGAUAUUAUAUUAGAUAUGGAGUAUAAGCCCCAGAUUCACCACUCAUUAAAUUAUUGCCACACAACAAGUUCAGGGGGUGGAAUGGAAGGACUCAUAAUUGUGAAAUUAUUGAAUUAAUUUAAAUGUGGAUGUUUGUAGUUCAAUUCAAAUUAAUGCCUUUCAAGCAAUGGUUACCAAUAUUAAAUUAAAAUGCUAAAUAAAAUUUAUUAUGAAAACAUAGUAAAAAUAAUUAACUAAGUUGUUACUAUGAAUUGAUCGUAAGAAUAAAAAUUUAAUUUUGAAUUAAAAGUUAAAAUUAAAAGGUUAAGUUAAAAGUUAAAAUUAAAAGAUAAAAUUAAAAGUUAAAAUUAAAAAAAUUAAGUAAUAAUUAAAAUUAAAAUUAAAAUGUUAAAGUUAAACUUUUAAAUUAAGUUUAAAAUUUAAAGUUAAGUUUAAAUUAAAAGUUAAAAUUUAAAGUGAGAAUAUUAAAGGUUAAAAAUUAAAAUUUAUUAGCCAAAAGGUGAAAUGUAGAGAUUACAAGUAAUUGUGAAGAUAAUAGUAAAAAUAAAAUAAGAGAGGUGGAAGCGAAGGUACCUUGAUAACAUGCAAGGAUUGAAGGCAGCGACCCCUUUCUACUCCAAAAUUCUCCAAAAUUGGUAAUUAGCUUUAAUUUGAAUGAUUUUUAGCUUAUUGCAAGGCUAACUUAAAGAUGCUCUUGAUUCAACAAAUCUUGUUACAAUCUAAUGAUUUACUUGUGAGAAUUUUUCCUUUGAUGUUGAGUGAUCCAAACUACCAUGGUGACCAAUCCUCUUCACUUAGAAAUUCAUUAAAAAUUCAGAUUGUCAUCAAAUCCAAUAAAACUUGUGCCUUUUAGAACUUAGCUUAUAAAGCUUGAUGCUCCCAAUAUUACAAAUGAAGCCAAUUAUCAAACACUGAGAAAUGCCUUUCUGAACUCGAUUGAUCCAAAUUGCAAAGGCAGUCGACUCCCUUGCACUCAAAAAUUUACCGAAAAUUCCUUAUUAUUCCAAAUCAACCGAAUAUUAUCUUUUCGUGAAGCUAACAACAAAAUAUACAACUAUUCGGAAUUUCACAUUGGAACAAAAGAAACUAAGAGUCUGAUUGAAGAAAAUCUGAGGCCCUUGAAACCCUUGGGAUAUUUGGGAGGCCGAGGGAGUUAUCUACCUCAAUGAAGCAUAUUUUAAAACUUAAUGACCAUCCUUCACAAUUCAAAAUCCAUACAUACACAAUCAUAAGGUUUACAAUGAGAUUUAAAAUCUAAAUAAAAUAAAGAUUAGAAUUUUGGCCAAAUUUUGGCAUACCUUCGCCUUUCACCCAAAAGAAGAGAGAGAGAGGGCUUGGAAAACCAAGCCUCUCUUACACAAUUGAGUGGAGGCUUGUAAAAGGGUGGCUACAUCUCCACCCUUGAUUUUUAAGAUCCCUAAUCUUGAUCUACGGCCUUCAUUCAUCCAAGAGCCAAUCUCAUUACCAAGGCUGAUGGCUCUUGUAAGUAGUCAAGAAAGCAUUUUUUUGGUAAAUAUAACUUCACCAUUGUGUUUGAAACAUCAUUUUAAGCUAAGAUCGACUACUCACAUGCCUCAAUCCAUGCUCAAUUAUAAUUUUCAUGGAAGUUUUUACUUACAAGGAUCUUGGCAAUUUUUUGUAAAAUUCUUCAAAAUGAGAAUUUCAUUGCUUCACUUGUAUUUUGAAGGAGAGGGUGCUGAUCUUGUUUUCUUUACUCCAUGGAAUAAAUCUGGUGCCACCAUUGCUUUGAAAAGGCUCCCAUUAAUUAGAAGAACCACCAUGCCGCUUGAAUUUGUCGAAUUUGGAUGAAAGCUCAAAAUUAUCAUUGCUAACUUUACUAAAUCUUUUAGAGAAUUUUAAUUCCAACUUCUAAAUCAUGUGAAUGAUCAUAGGCUUUUAGUCAACUCUCAUAGUAAUGAUCAACAACUUCUAAAUUAUUAAACUAACUAAGUUGCUAUUCUAGUUUUCUAACUCUAAUCACUUUAGUCCUAAUUAACCUAAUUCAAGGAAUUAAGUUAUAAUUUAUACCAUCAAGGAUUGUAAUCCUAAAAAUUCUAUAAAACUAAAUUUUAUUUAUAUAAAUCCUAAUAUAACAUAUUCAAUUAUCAUAAAAUAGAAAAAUAAUAAAAAUUUAAAUUUUAGAGUAUAAUUGAGAGUUCACAUGGAGAUUCAAUAAGUAUCAUGAUUUUAGAGAACCUUUUUAAGAUUCUAAAGGUGGAAAUAAAGCUCUUCUUUGCCUUUUUAUCUUCAAAUUGAUGGAUAAAUAUAAUACAUAAAUUAAGUUUUGAAGUAGUAUUUAAGAUGUACCAUUAACUAUCAACAAGAUGAUUGGAAAAUCCUACUGGCAUUGGUAAAAUUUGCUUAUAAUAAUAAGAUGUAUUCUUAUAUAUAAUAAAUAUCUUUCUUUAUUAAUUAUGAUUAUCAUCCACUUCUUGAUAUUUUUGAUUUUUUAAAAGUUGAUAAUCUUACUGCAAAAGGUUUGACAAAUUAUUUAUAUGAGCUACAUAUAAUAAAGAAGGAACAUUUAGAAGAAACUUAAAAAUGACAAAAGACCAAUGCAGAUGCCUUUCAAAAGGAGCAACCUCAAUUCUACAUUGCCAACAAGGUAUGAUUAUUUAAUUACAAUAUUAAAACUAGUAAUUUUUGUAAUAAGUUAGAUUACCAUAAGCUUAAACUAUUUUCUAUUUAUAAACAAAUCCAAUUGCUUAUUGAUUACAUCUAUUAGAGUCUAUGAAGCUCUAUCUUAUAUUCCAUGUAUUUUUUUUUAAUUAUAUAAAAAAUUAAAUAUCUCAAAAAAAAGACAAAUACCACAUUUUCUUAUAAAAGUAGAUAAUAAUCAAGAAUUUGAAGUAAAAGAAGACUUAGACUCAAGGCAUCAUUGAAUAAGGUUAGAAUAUCUUAUUUAUUACUAUGGAUAUGAUAUUAGUGAAUGCACAUGGGAGCCAACAAAGUAUCUUAUAAAUACAACAAAAAAGAUCAAAGUUUUUCAUCAAUAACAUCCAUCAAAAUUAAAAUAAAAAAUCAAACAAAUCAAUUUUAUAAAAGAAAUAAGAUCCAAUGAAGAUAGAAUUCUACUUUCUAUCUUUGUUUGUAAUUUUUUUUAUUUGUGGUGCUAAAGAUAUUAAGAACCAAUAACCACUAGAUUUAUCUUAAGAAUUAUCAUUUGUUGAUUUAUCAAAUGAGACAUUAACAUUAUCACAACCUUUGAGAUGUUGUAAUAGAGACAAAGAUCCUCAAUAAUAACAUAUUUUUCCUUAAAUAGAUAAGAUAUAAUAUAUUAGAUAUCACAAUUUUAGAAGAAACUACUAAUGUUUGAUAAUUUUAUUAGAAUAGAAAUGAUUCCUAAUAGUGUUCCAAAUGUUUUAUUUUGAAAGGAGUUAUGAAGGCCUUAAUAAUAAUCAAAUAAUAGAGUGGUCUUCCGCCUAGGAAUGAGACAAUAUUAGUGACUAAGAGGACCUAUUAGCCAUCUUCAAAGAGAAUAAUAAUUAGAAUAUAUGAUAUAUAUAAUUUAUUACAUCUUAAUUUCAUCAAGAUGUAAUCACUGCUCUUUGUAAAACUUGUUUGUAGAAGGAGGAGUAAUAUCAUGGACAUACAUAUUUAUGUCAAUUAUAAUUUAAAUAAUAUGAAUAAAUAAAAUAGAUAAAAUUAGAUAAUUUUACUAAUAUCUUGUAGAAUUUUUUUUAAAAAGCUUUAUGAAUACAAUUUCAUAUUUAUAUGUAUUUAAAGGUGAUUGAUAGGUUAAACACUUAGCCAAAAAAAUUGCUACAUAUUAUAUGUGUUGAUAGCUUGUAGUACAAAUUAACCAUAUGGCAUAUAUAUAAGAAGCUUAUUUUAUAAGUUAAGAUAUGUUUCUUACAAAUUAGACAUGUAUCACAGGUCCUAUAAAACGUUGCCACAUAGCUUUUAGUUAGAUAGCAUAUAUAGAGGGAAGAAUGAAGCCUUCUUCAUUCUUAUCAAUUCAGUUUUUGUUUUUAAUCUAAUUUCAAGAGUUUCAAAAUUGAAGUCUUUCGCAAUAGCCAUUUUAGUUUCUUCUUGAAUAUACAUACUUCUUUAUUAUCAUUUUUUUAUCUCUCUUUUAUACUUAUUUCAUUUGUUUAUGUAUCAUCCUUUGAAUUCUUGUCCUUGACAAUGACAUGGAUGGCAAUGAACAACUUGUAAAAAUACUUGAACAAGAAAUAAUUGCCUAAAUCAUAAUAAAUCUGGAAAAUUAAUGGUCUAUCUAUACACAAUGUCACAAAUCCUUCAUAAGUAUGCUUAUCCUUUGACAUUACAAAUUAAAAGGCUCUAUAUCCAGAAGUACCUAAUUCCUCUCUAUUAAACAAAUUAAGGUCAAGAUUAUCCACCACAACCUUGUAACUCAUGACCAUCACUCUUAACUAGAUUAUUCAUUUGUGUCAAAUAUUAUACUAAUUAUUAUGCCUAUAUAUAUAUAUAUAUAUAUAUAUAUAUAUUAAGCUUUAAAUAUAUACAUAUAUAUAUAUAUAAAGCUUUAAAUAUACUUUUGGAUUUUUGUUAUAAUUUAUAUUAUAUAAUAUAAUUUUUUAUCUAUUAUUAUAAUAUAUUUUAUUAUUAUUAUUAUUAUUAUUAAUUUUUAGUUCUUUUUAUAAUCUUUUAAAAGAAUAUUUGAAGGUUUUUCUUUAUUAACUUGAUUGACACAUCUCUUUAAAUCAAAAAUCAAAUUUUUCUUUUUUUUGUAUCUUUUACAAUCUUAUCAUUUGUGUGAUGAAAGAUGAAUUCAAUUCUAUAUAUAAAUAUAAAAAAUAAUGUAGAUGCAAUUAAGCUUUUUAUAAGAAUUAAUGGCCAAUUUUUAUAUAUAUAUAUAUAUAUUGAUAUUUUUAUGUCUUUAUUAUAAUACAUUCAUGAAUAUUUGUUAUAAUACAUUCAUGAAUAUUUAUUAUAAUACAUUUAUGAUUAUUAUAUAUAUAUAUAUAUAUAUAUAUAAGAUGUUGGUAAUGUCCCUAUUAAUUGCCAACUUAUAUUCUAUAGUACAAUCCAUUUUAUGCAACAUUGCUAAUUGACAUCUCAAUGGAUAAAAUGCACAUUAUUUAUGGAUAUGUAUAUUAGUAUUUUAUAAAACAUAUUGUAGUAUCUAUUGCAAGUUUUUGAAAAAUUUUAAUGAUAUUUAACCAAAAUCAUAAUGACAUGUGGUAUAAGCAAGUUAUGAUGGUAGUAGCAAAAACUAUGGUAAUGUUAGAAAUAUGUUAUAUAUAUAUAUAUAUAUAUAUAAUUAUUUUAAAUAGACCCAAUUUUUUUAUUAGAUUGAUCCACCUAUCCUAACCAUCAUAAAAAAAUAAUGAUUUUUAGAUUUAUUUUUCUAUUAUUGGAUAUGUAGUCAAUAAAAAUCAAAUGUAUUUAUAUUAAUUACCAUAUUCUUCAUUAAAGGUGGAUCUAUUUAGUAAAAAAAUAGGUCUAUUUAAUAUUCUCUUAUAUAUAUAUAUAUAUAUAUAUAUAUUUCAUAAAAUAAAAUUGAAUAUAUUUACUUAGUAACUUAAUGUGUGGAACUUUAUUAUCUAAAUAUUUUUUAUGUAAAUUAAAAUCAUAUAAAUAUCUGAAAUAUUUCAAGGUAAUAUAUGAUAUUUUAUUUUUACAAGUUAUUUAGCUAAUAUUACACUAAAACUGACUUUAAUAUUAUUGAAGGAAUUUAGAACAUAAUAAAAUAGUGAUAUUAGCAAGAAUAAAUGUAUUUAAUUAACAUUUUUAUUAUUAUGAGAUCUCAAAUACAAGCAUUAGAUUUCUUUUUCAAAAUAUAUCAACUUUGUUGAAACAUAUAAUUUUAAAGGAUUUAAGAAAUAUCAAGUGGAAUAAGAAUGCUGUUUGGAAAUAGUUAUUUCUAGAUAUGUAGUAUGUAAAUAGUUUCUAAACUUUUUUCUAUUUCAAAAUUAUGCAAAAAUGUGGCUUGUAGUGUUACUGUUUUGUUUUUUUGUUGUAUUUUAUUAUAUGAUAGUAAAAACAAGUCUUCCUACACUACUUCUACACUUUGAGUGUUUUUACAGUAUUGUGAAAAACUGUGUAAUUUAUGCAAAAAAUCAAAUUAUAGAUUUGUGACAUUGCUAAGCAUGAUUAAUUUAUAUAACAUUAUAUGAUUUUCUUAAAACCUUAAAUUAUUAUUAAAUAUUUUUACUUAAGAUUAAGAAAUAAAUUCUACAACACUAUAUAGUUGAAUUCAGAAUGCAUUAAAUAAUAGCUUAUAAAAUUUAAGUAUAAAUUAGUGAUUUUUAUUUAUUUAUUUAUUUAUUUUUUUGUAUAUGAUAUGUGUAUUCUUAAUAAUGUAAAAAAUACUAAAGUUUAGUAUGAAUAGAAAUUUAGUAGAAUUUGAUCAUAUAUAAGGAUGUCAUAUAAAAAGAUUCCUUCUCUAUCUCUACUUUGUUAAGAAAGCUAGCUACAAUAUCAUAUUGCUAAAAAUCUCAGUAAGUUGUGAUUAAGACACGAAAGAGACUACUAAGUAAAUUUGGUUUAAAACAUGAUACUACAACUUUUAUGUUUCUGUACAGCCACAUUUCAAAAUAUCCAAAAAUAAUUUUCCAAUUUUUUUUCAUAAUUUUUGUUUAUUUAAUAACAUGUGGUCAUACAUUUUUAAUCUAUUUUUCAAAUAACGUUGAAUUAAUUUUAUUAUAAAUAGAUGUAAAAUAAAUUUCCCUGUGUCUCUGAAAGUCAAUGUAACCAUUUAUGCAGAAAUAUAUAUAUAUAUAUAUAUAUAUAUAUACAUAACUCAGAUUGAUUUAUUUUUCUUAAAUUUCUUCAAAAAUUGCAAAAUAAGGAAUUAUAUAAAUAAUAGAUUUCUUUCUUAUUUCACUCACAAAGCCAUAUUCAUGAAUUUGUUAGAUCUCUGCAAAAAAAAUAACAAUCGAAUGAUAAAAAAUAAGAAAUAUGUCAAUUUAUUUGAAUAUUCAAAGAUAAAUUACUUGUUCUAAAAUUCAUCAUUAUCAUUCUUUUAAAAAUUAGAAGCAAAUUCAAUGUUAAUUAUGAUAAACGUGUAAUUCCAGAACCUUUGAAAUGUGUGAGAGAUUAGUGAAGCUACAUCCAAAAAAAAUCACCGAGUGAAAAAUUUCUCUUCAUUCACUUUUAUAAUUAUGUUAAAUUUUUGUUGAAAAAAUUGUUUUUCUGACGUAGAUGUGCACAUUUAUUUUAAUUGUGUAGAAGUAAACAUCUUCGUCAAUCUUCUACCGUAGUAUAAAUUAUUUGGUAGAAAUAUUUUCUCAAUGAAUCCUUGCAAUGAUGAAUACAAAAAAGUAGAAAAAAUUAAGAUUCUAUUAAAGAGGAUAGUUAUUUUAUUUGAAAGAAAAACUGAAAGAAUUAGCUGUUUUAGAUAAUUAAAAGUAUUUUAUUUUACCUCUUUUAGAAUUUAAUUUAAAAUAAAUUCAAUCCUAAAAUUAUUCUUGUAAUAAAUUGGAAUUUAACAUAACUUUUAUAAUUAUGUCAAAAUUAAAAAUAGGUUAACAUAACUUUCAUUUUUUUAUUUUAUUAAUUUUUCUAUGGAUCGUUUUGAAGGAUCUACCAAAUAUAUUUCCAAACAGUUAUCUUAAAUUUAAUAACCAAAUUAGGUAUAUUUUUUUUAGCAAAUCAUGACAGUAAAAAUUUAUUUUAAUCCAUUAAGUAUUUAAUUCAGAUUUUCAAUAGAAAAUUAAGAUGCAAGUUGAUAAAAUUAUUAUAAAAAAUUAAAAAUCAAAUAAAUGAUAUUUAUGUUAUUUAUGUAACAAAAGAUUGCAAAUAUCUACAUGAUAUAAAGAAAAUGAAAUUCGAAGAUCUAAGUAUGCAUUAAGAGUGAGCCUUAAUAUCAAAACAAUUAAAAUUACUAAAAAUAGAAGCUUAUAAUAAACCAAAAAGAAUCACAACUUUUAAGAUUAAAAUAUAACAUCAAAUUAAUGACUAGUAGAAGUAUCUAUAUUGGUAGAAUCAAAUAGACACAAGACAAGUUUCUAUAUAAACAAAGAAAUUACCAAAAGAUAGAAUGUUGGAUGCCAACUUAUACAUAGAAAUGUAGCUUAACAGCUAAAAGAACUUGAUUAAAUAUGUAUUAACAAUAAUAUUUACAAGAACAUCUUCAGUACCAAAAUUUGUUGAUUGUAAUAAAAAUAACCUCUACAGAAACCAUUGGAGACUUUUGAAUAAAUCUAUACUUACUAAAUAUAAUUUAUAAGACCUUAUCUUUGUUGAUACUGGAUAUUAAGGUGAGAUUUUUUUGUAUUAAAAUACAACUAUUGAUAUAUAAAAAACUAAGUUAAAAGAUUUUAUUGACUCAAAUAAUUCAGAAUUCAUAAGAUAGUCCUAAAACAAAUAUCUUCAUACUUUAAAAAAAAUUCAAAAUCAUGAAGCAUUAAGUAUAAAAAUCUAAAAUAUCAAAAAAUAGAAAAUAAUUUAAAUGCAUAAAUAUAAAUAUCUAUUACAUUUUAGAAGAAGAGCUAGUCUUUUGAAGGUUGGCCUAAACACAAAGCAUGUUGAAUUUUUUUAAAAGUUUAUUUUAAUAAAAAAUAACAAUAUAAUAUAUUAUCUAUAUGUAUAUAUAUAUAUAUAUAUAUAUAUAUAUAUAUAUAUAUAUAUAUAUAUGUAUAUAUAUAUAUAUAUAUAUAUAUAUAUAGACAAAAAGAUCUACUUAAAGUCGUGAGAUAAAAAAUAUAUACAAUAUAAAAACAUGAAUUAGGACAAUAUUCUAGUAGUCUUCUAAAAACUUUAUAAAAAUAUGAUGAGGUUAUUUGACAAAUUUUACCAAAUAAUAAAAAUAACAAUACAAAUUAGACAACAUUGUAUAACUUUAGAUAAGAAAUUAUGCAUAAGAAGUAGACAAAUAUUCUUAGACUUAUGAUUUGAAUUUCAAUAGUAAAGACAAUUGAUUUUUAAAACUUCAUUUAAACUAAGUUAAGGUGUUAUAAAUAUGAAACCAUUAUAAUAAUCAAAAAAUUAUCAUCAAAGCUCUUGUUUCGUUCAAUUAUAUUAAAAAUGAUUCUAAAUAAAGAAAAGAUGGUGAUUUUUGUAGGUAAGAUUGAUAAAUAUAUUAUGUAAGCAAUUAAAAGUAAUUUCAAUGCACAAAAGUGCUAAAAACUUAACUACAGAUAAUACUCUAGAGAGAUAAUUGUUAAUAAAAAGAAGUUGAGAAACAACAUUAGAAAGUUGUUUAUAAAUCAUAAUUAUUUUAUUUUAAUUUAUACUUAACAAAAAGAUGGAAUAUGAACAUUCUUUUUGAAAAAAAAAUGUCUAUAUAAAGAAAUUAUAUAAAAGAGAUGUUUGAUUCUACAACAACAUUGUUUUUACUAUAUUUCAUUUAAUGCUAUAUCUAUAUUAGUUGAAUAUGAUAUUACUUCUUUUAUUAAAUUGAUUAUUUAUUUUGAUGAAAAAAAUUAAAAGACUUAUAAAUAUCAAAAAAAUAUAUAUUCUUUAUUUGUAUUUUCUUUUUACAUACAAUACAAUGAAUGAAAUCAAAAUCUUUAUUAAAAAAAAAAAAAAAAAAAAAAAAAUCCUAAAUAGUAAAGCUUAAAAAUUUGAAGUUUUUUUUUAAAAAUUUAACUUGUAAAUAUUAUCUAUCUACAAUGAAAAAAAUACUAAUAUAAUUUUUAUAUAAUUAAUAAUUUAUUAAUAUAUUUAUUUUUUUACAAGAAUUAAAAUAAAUAAAUUAGAAUAAUGAGGAUCUUUACUCUUACUAACUUAAUAUCUUAAAUUCUUCUUGAAAUAUUUAAAAUUGGUUGAAAUUAAUUAUUUUAGAAUUUAUAAAUUAAAACUAAACAAUCAAAUAAGAUAAUAUACUAGUGACCUAAGAAGUUAUUAAUUAGGCUAAGAAAUAUAAACAACUAUCAUUUGUAUAAAAGUUGAAUAUCUUAAUUUAAACUAAAAAUAUAUAUAACUAUUAUAAUAUACAAAUUAUUAAUGAAUGUGUAGUUAUAUAUGUGUACGUUUAAAUAUAUAUAUAUAUAUAUAUAUAUAUAUAUAUUUAUAUAGAUAGAUAGAUAUAAUUUGAUAUCUUUUCUUGUAGAAAAAAAUUGAAUUUUUUGCAAAAAUUACAUAUUUCUAUAUAAAUUUUAGAAGUGCAUACAAGUAUGCAGAAUGUAGAAUUGGAUUGUAUCCUUUCUAUGUAAAACAUUUCUUUAUUUUUGUAGAUAAAAUUCUUAGAAUAUUUUGAAUUACAGAAAUAUUCCAUUCAUGCUAUUGAACUUUCAUCCAGUCUCAAAAUAUUCUAAAUAAGAUAGAAUUUCUUUGUCAGAUAUGCAUAUAAAUUAUAUAGACACAACAAAAUGCCAUGGGUUUUGAAGAAAAAUAAAGAAUCAUUUCUAAAUAAGACAACUUGUUUAGUCUAAUAUUAUUGAAUACAGAUGCAUAUUUUGCAAAAAUACUCUUUACAUAAUACAAGGACAACGUAACAAGUUUUAUCUGUUUUUAAAAUUAUAUUUUAUUUGUAUGCAUUAAGUGAUAGCUAACUUUGAACAUAAACAUUAGAUAAUAUUUUAGAAUUUUAUGGACAUAAGAUAUAUAAGUUCUUAAAAAUAUUAUAAAAAAUCAAAAAUAUAUAAUUUGUUAUCCUAUGUUUAUUUUUAAUUAAUUCAGUAAUUUACUUGUUUAAUUGUAUAUUCCUAUUAUGGAUUUUAUGAGCAUAAGUAUGAAAGAAAAUUUAAAAACACCCAUGUUUAUAUAUUUAUAUGUAUAAAUAAAUAAAUAUAAAUAUAUAUGUAUGUAUACACAUAAAAUUAAAUAUUAUAUUAUGAUUCUGAUGGUAAAAAUAAUAAAAAUGUAUUUUUUAUAAUAAAAUUAAAUAUAAAAUAUAUAUUUUUUGAAAAAUUAACUAUAAAUUUCUUCUAAAUUUGAUUUGAUUUGAUUUUUUACUGGUUCUUGAAAUAAUAUUGAUAUUUAUUUUGAUAAGAUUUAAAAAUUAGCACAUUACUUUUGAUACAAACACUAUAAUAAAAAAUAUUAUUUUACUUUUAAUUUUGAAGUUAUUAGAUAAGGCACAUAAAUUUACAUAAUACUAAGAGACUACAAAUUUUGAAUAUAUAUAUAUAUAUAUAUAUUUAAAUGAAAAUUAAAUAUUCUAAUAAUUUGAAUUCUAAAGAAUUUUUCAUAAUAUAUGAUACACAUUUUUAGUAAAAUACAAAUUACCAAUUCUUGAUGAUUACAGUAGCUUCUCACUUAUUGAAUAUGAAACUUUAUACGAUGUAAGAGUUUUAAAGUAUCUUAAGGAUCGUACGAACAUUUUACAUAAGGUAUCUUUUAAAUAAUGCAUAGAUUAAAAUAUCAAAAAAAUAUUUAUAAUUAUUUUUAGAGUUAAUUAAAAACCAAAAAACUAAUAUUUUAGUUUUUUAUUCUUACUUCUAUAUAAAAUUGAAAUAUUACAAAAAGAUUGAUUUACUAAAAAUUUAAUAAAUUAAUAAAAAAAUAUAAUUUAAAAUCUACCACUUGUGUUUCAUAAUGGGUCGAUUCAUCUGAGCUGUAUGAAUAGAAGAAAAGAGUAAUUUGUCUGGAGCUGAGAGAGAUGUUAAGAAAGUGGAAGCUGUUCUCAUCAGUGGAAACAGCGAGUUGGGUAAUUUGCCAGUUGCCAUUUUGUAUAAUGUUGCCUAUAUUCUGUUGUUUUUGUGACGUUGUUUAUACUUACACGCACCCACGUUAUCUUGCUCUCACACGUGGGUUGUACAAGCUAAGGACUGAUCACUACAGUGUGAUCAAUACCUUAACUAGAUAAUGUCGUAAAUUACUCAUCCCGAAGAAAUCUAAUUUCGAAGUCAUUCGAUUUCAGGAUCUAAUCAUAUGUCUUGUCUGGUUCACAAGCAACUAUUAUUUAGAUUAUCCUACAACAAGACUGUUAAGGAAAGGCGUGAAUAAUGCCUUGCGAAGAUGAGGCAAAUAUUAAACAGAUACGUCGAGUUAUGAACCCAUGUUCCUGUCUGCAAAACACGCAGUUAUUGAGCCUGUCGUUGCCACAGCAACGUCCAGUGUAAUCAGUUUUGAGCGAGAAAGAGGUAAAUGCAUUCUGAACGAUUGAUUAACAGUGUUGACGGCAGAUUGAAACAGCUUAUUCAUAUCACUUGUGUGAGCUCAUUUCGAAUUCAAGGGGGGAAGAUGAACACAGCUAGAAUUGCUUCCCCUGCCAUCAGUUUUUUUUUUUUUUUUUUUUUUUUUUUUUUGUUUUUGCGAUAUAAAACCUGGAUUUGAUAUUGUUUCAUUUACAGACAAAAUGAAGCAUUCCGAGUAUCUUCAUUGUUGGUUGAUCUGUACUCUAUUUGUCUCAUUGCUGAGUGUGGGUGUCACUUUUUAUGACUUAAAAAUACGAUGAAGUUAUGGACGCUAAUGUUUGAACAUCUCUUGUUUAGACGUCCAUGUCUUCGAUGCUACAAGUGCUAAUGAUUUAAUGCUGCUUAAGUUCCAUCAUGGUUGGUCCUUCAAGGUCCACGGAACUGAGUUUAGGUUCAUGAAUGAUGCCUCGUUUAAUUUCAUCACUUGCCUAUGAAACCAUUAACCAUUCCUUUUAAGGCCUUGGUUCAAUCUGGGUUCUUAUCAGAAUAAGAUCUUUGAGAUGUAUUCCAUUCAAUUCUUCAUUUGGUUUUGUUUCUCUUUUAGUGAAGAAGAAUGUAAGAACAUGACUCAAAUCAUUUCUGUUUCUAUUUAUCUUUAUUUUUGUUACCGGAAAGAUUACAAUUAUUUAGCAUUUAAUGCACUCAUGUAUUGGACGUGGAUGUGUAUUGUUUCAAAUAUCAAUACGAGUUUGAAGAAACAUUUCAAUAUGUGUGUGUAUAUAUAUAUAUAUAUAUACAUAUACAGUUGAAUACAUAUGUAUGCAUUUAAAGAUGAAUGUAAAUAUAAAUAAACAAAAUGAAUAUUUACUCAAUUUGGCUCCUAAUUAUAAAUUUCAAAUAAAUAAAUAGAGGAAAUUCAAAAUCAUAUUUUACUUUAUAUAGAAUUUUAUAGAUUAUAAAUAAAUCACUACUCACUCUUUUGUAUUAUACUUUAUAAAAAUAUGUAUUAACAACACAUCUUAGCCAUACAUUAAAAUUAAUAUUAUGAUAAGUUUUUAAUAAGCUUACAACCAAACCGCUAAUAUGUAUGAAAACUAAUAUAAUUCAAAUAUGUUUGAAUCCAUUAUUUUAUUAUCAUUUUUAUUUUUAAUUGAAAAAAUUGAUCUUAUCUAAUUUUAGGACAAGACGAACUUAAAUAUUAUAUUUCAACUAAAAUUUUGAUCUAUUUUAAAACCUCAAUAAGUAAAAUUUGAAAAUUUCUUCUAAUUAAAUAUAUUUUCUUAUUUUAACUCAUGUUUCAUAUUCUUUUUAUUUGUUUUUAUUACAAGAUGUAAAAUUUUAAUCAUUAGAUUUCCAUUGUUUUAUGUCCUAGAACUAUUUGGUCUUUACAAUUUUAUUGUAUAUUUUAUAUUUUAACAAAAAGAUUAUGAAUUUUCUUUGUAAUAUUGACUCAAUAUAUACUAAAAUAAUUAUUUUAAAUUAUAUUUUUCAGUAAAUCAAUCUUUUUGUAAUAAUAAAAUUUUAAAUAGAAGAAAAAUUAAGAAACUAAAAUAUUAGUUUUUUGGUUUUUGAUUAACCCUAAAAAUAGUUAUAUAUAUAUAUAUAUAUAUAUAUAUAUAUAUAUAUUGAUAUUUUAAUCUAUGCAUUAUUUAAAAGAUACCUCAUGUAAAAUGUACGUACAAUUCUUAAGAUACUUUAAAACUCUUACAUGGUAUAAAGUUUCAUAUUCAAUAAGUGAGAAGCUAUUGUAAUCAUCAAGAAUUGGUAAUUUGUAUUUUACUAAAAAUUUGUAUUAUAUAUUAUGAAAAAUAUUUUAGACUUCAAAUUAUUAUAAUAUUUAUUUUUUAUUUAAAUUAAUAUAUAUAUAUAUAUAUAUAUAUAUAUAUAUCUAUAUUUUUAAAUUUUUUAGUCUUAAUAUUAUGUAAAUUUAUAAGCCUUAUCUAUUAAUUUCAAAAUUAAAAGUAAAAUAAUAUUUUUCAUUAUUGCGUUUGUGUCAAAAGUAAUGUGCCAAUUUUCAAAUCUUAUCGAAUUAAAUAUCUAUAUUAUUUCAAGAACCAGUAAAAAAAAAUCAAGUCAAAUCAAAUUUAUUUGAAAUUUAUAGUUUUUUUCUUUUUUUAAAUAUUAUAUUUUAUGUUUAAUUUUAUUAUUAAAAUAUAAAUUUUUAUUAUUUUUUUCUAUUAAAAUCAUAAUAUAAUUUUUAAUUAUGUAUAUAUAUAUAUAUAUAUAUAUAUAUAUAUAUAUAUAUUUAUUUAUUUCUACAUAUGUUUUAAGCAUAUAAAUAUAUAAACAUGGAUGUUUUAAAUUUUCUUUUAUACUUAUGCUCAUAAAAAUCCAUAAUAAGAAUAUUAAAUUAAACAAAUAAAUUAUUUAAUUAAUUAAAAAUACACAUAGGAUAAAAAAUUAUAUAUUUAUGAUAUUUUAAAAUAUUUUUAGGAACUUAUAUAUCUUAUGUCUACAAAAUUCUAAAAUAUUAUAUACCAUAUAUGUUCAAAGUUAGCUAUAAUUAAAUGCAUAUAAAUAAAAUAUAAUUUUUAAAAUAUCUAAUAUUACUUUAAUACCAAAAUUUGAUAUAUUCUUAUCCAAUUGUAUUCUAUGGUUCUAUAUUAUUUCAAUCUUUAUUUCUUUUGUUUUUACAAAUCUUUUAAAAAUUAAAUUUUUGAUUACGAAAAGCAUAAAAAAUUGUGUUUUUAUCACUAUCAUUAUUUAUUAAGGUUAAAUAAAAAAUAAAAAAAUCACAUUUAAAAUUAAAAAUAUUUAUCUUUUGUGAAGAUAUAUAUAUAUAUAUAUAUAUAUAUAUAUAUAUAUAUAUAUAUAUAUAGAUAUAUAUUUCCAAAAAAAGAGGUGUGUGGCUUGGAGUUAUUCACAUAGUCAAAGUGGUUGUCUACCUAUAUGUUUUCAAAAUAAAAUAUGUCGCCAUAAAUAUAAGCUAGUAAAUUAAAUAAAAUAUUUCAAUAUUUUUUAUGUAGAUAUGGCUUUGUCUAUUUUUAAAUGGUAUAAUUUUUUUUAUUUAAAUAUGUAAGAUAUUUAAGUCACAAUUCAAAUAUUUUAAAAUUAAAUUAUAUUUAAAUCACUUUUUUUAAUCUUUUUAUAGAUAUUGAAGAACAAUUUAAACUUCUUUGAAUAAUUUUUGUGUGAAGUUUGUAUUUAUGUACCAUUUGUUGCUAAAAAAAAUUCGUAAAAAUUUGAAUUUAAGUUUGUUAAAUAUCCAUAAAUCUAAAUUUAUAUUAAUUGAGAUUAAGAAUGUAAAUCUAAAUUAACCUCUAAAAAUAUAAUAAAUUCAUAAACCUCAAAGAAAAAAAAGAAAAAUGAUAUAAAAUAUAAAAUUUUAGAAUAACCAUUAUGAAAUAGACAAAAGAUAGAAUUAAGAUUAAAAUAUAAUAAGUACAUGAAUAAAAAUGAAAAAAAUCUUGAUUUUAUUUCCAUAUAUAUAUAAACUAUCAAGGAGGCUAUGUAAAAACUAUUAGGACCAUAAAUUUUAUAACCUAAGUAUCCAAGUUGUAGGUUAUUUCUAUCUUAAUUUCUUUAAAAUAAAAAAUUUCUAGAAGAAGUUAGUACAAUUACUUAACAACUUUAGAAACACCUUCAAAUCUAAUAGGUAUCUAAAAAACUUCUCUAAUAUUUUUUAAUAAAAAUAUCAAUCACUUUCUUCUAUUUAUUCAAGAAAUAUAGAUAUUUAUUAUAUUUACAUAAAAUAUAUUUAAAAAAUAUGUAUUUUAUAUAAUUUAUUCAAUAUAAAUAUGUUAUAAAAUAGAAUAUAUAUUAAAAAUUAUUGAGAUUUUAUCAUUUACUAUAAAUAAAAGAUAUCUACAAUAAAUCUAUAAAAUAUAAUAUACUAUACAACUCUUAAUAUAUGAAUCAACUUUAGAUUAUUAAAGGAACAAUGCACUAAUUUCAUCAAAGUCUACUACAAAUGAAAUCAUAGAAGAAUCUACUACAAUUGGAUAGAGAAGACCAAAUGCUGCUAUUGUGUUGCAUAUGCUCUUGCUUGAAAAUUCAUGAGGCUUUUAAUUGUGGAAGAUGAGUAGAAAUACAAUAGUAAUUCUACAAAAUCUAAUAGAAUCUUAAAUAAACUUGAAAUAAACUUGAAAUAAACUUUAAUAUCUCUAAUCAAACUUUGAAAAAUUAAAAAUAAAUUUAAAAGAAGUUAUAAAAGAAAUAAAAAUAAGUCUUAAACUAAUUUCAAAAAAAAUAAUAAGAAAUUUUAAAGAAAUAUAAAAAUAAAAUUUUAAAGAAAUAACAAUAAUUUUAAAAAAUUAAAUUAAAGAAAUAAAAAAGAACCUUAAAUAAAAUUUACAAAUAGAAACUCUAAUUUAAACUUUAUCAAUUUGUAGGUCAAAUCUUAAUUGAAAUCUUUAUUGAACCUUAACCAAAUCUUAUGUCAAACCAUAAUGAAAUCAUAAUAAAAUCCUAUAUCCUAGAUAAAUCUUAGAUAAAUCCUAAUCAAUCUUUAAUUAAGUUUUAAAUCUAAUUCCAAGUAAUUUCUAGUCUUAACCAAAUUGUAGAUAAAUCCUAAAUCAAAUCCUAUAACAAAAUAGAAUAUCAAAAAUUAAUAAUCAAAUAAUUUGAUAUCAAUUCAAAAUUUGCACACUUCUUAAUAUCUUAGUUAGAAAAAAAACAUAAGAAAGAUGAAAUUGAUUGUAAUUAUUAAUUAAAAAAAUAUAAGAUAAUCCAAUCAGGUGUUGGACAACCUCCUAUUCCAUCCUAAAUGCUGAACUUUUAGCACCAAUAUCUCCUUCUUGAACUAUUGAAUUACUCUCAAAUUUUAUCUAAAUGUUGAAAAUCAAGUCUAGUAUCCUCAGAAUCCACAAAAACCUUCACACACUUGAAUCUAAUUGUUUGAUUGACCUCAAAAUUUUCACAAAUUUAUAAUAAGCACAUCAACACAAUGUCCAAAAUUCAUUUGUACUUACACCACAAAACUCAAGAAAUCUUCAAAUUUAUAAACAUAGUUUUAUUUUCCAAAAUAUAAAUCAACCAAGAAUAUCACUAACUUUGAAAAUCUCUCAAAAAUUCAAUAUUGAUUCAAUUGACAUAAAAUCAAUGCCUUAAAAUAUCUCUUCAAAUUUUUUCUCAAAUUUUGUACUUAAAUCUACCAAAAAACCUUGAAUUUGCUGUAUAAGUGCAGUUUUAUGCCUUAGAAUUUGAUUUGAAUCUAGGUUAACAACUAGUCCUCUUAAGAAUUUAAUUUUUAGUAAUUUAAAGUAAGUUUUGUUUUAUCCUAUUUUCAAUACUCUUCUAGAUAUAUCUAUAUUAAUAUCUUAUCUCAUUUACUCUAAUUUGGCUCAUUUAUGCCUCUUCAAACUAAAUAAAAGUCCUCUCUACAAAAAAAACAACACUAAGACUAAAUCAUUUACCACCUUUUUAUCAUUUUUUCUUAUUUCUCUACUAUACUUUUUUGCUAGGACCUUUUAUAAUAACAUCCAUAUUUUUAUUGUUUUAUUUUAUAGUUGUAUUAUAACAUGAUAUUGUAAAAAUUCUUGCUCUCUUAUUAAAAAAUCAUUUUAGAAAAAAUGAAUGAAAAAAUGCCACAUAUGUUUGGAAUUUUAAGAUUAUAAUAUUAAAACACAACCAUGAUCCAUCUUCUAAUUCAUUUGCUCAUCAUAUUUAUCUUUAUGUCUUGGAAUUCUAUGAAAUGAUUAUUAAAGAAAUAUUUAAAAGAAGAAAAAAAUUCAAGAACAUCCAGAUACAUUUGCAAAACAUAAAAAAUAGAAUAGAUGUCUUAAAAGAAGUUAUUCUACUUGAAACCACAAUGAACAUAUAAAAUGUUGGAUAGAAAAACUCCUAUGGAUACUUGGAUAGAGAUCAUUUGAAGAUAGAGAUAUAUGAUUGAUUUAGAAUGGAUUGGAUAAGGUAACACUAUCCAUAUUGUCAAAGUAGAGAGAAUUUGCUUUAAGAAAGUGUUGGGCUUCUAGCUGUCACUAAUUGCUCAAUCAAGUCAUAAUAUAAAAAAAGACCAAGUUUAUAUAUAUAAUUAUUCCUAUAAGAGCAAUUACAUCAAUACAGAAGCCCUAAGUACCAAAGAUCAUCCAAAAUAUGAUAAAAAUAUUCUAAAACCUUAUAUAUCCUUAAGAUAUAAUCUUUUCAAACUUCAAUAAUUCAAAUCUUACAAUCGAACCCUCCAAAAAAAUCAAAAUUUUAUAUGAAGUAUUGAUAAACUUUCAACAAUUGCCAUAACAAAUUUCAACUGCAAAUUUAUUAUGAAUCUUAAAAAAUUUCCAAAAUUCUAAUAGUAGCUUCAAAUCCUUGCUUAUAUAUACCUAUGUGCAAUUUUUUUAUAUCUCACAAACUAAAAAUUUAAAUACUAUAAAAUUUUGAUAUAUAGAUUUUUAAUCUAAUAUAUACAUUUUUUAAAAUUUUGAGCCAAAUAUUCAUCUAAAUACUCAAGAUAUGGCUCCAAUCAUUAGUAUAAGAAAAAAAAUUCACUUAUUGCCUUUGAAUUACAUGUAUUGUCUUCAAUACUUUAUAACUCUUUCAUAUAAACUUCAAAGGCAAAAAUUCUUUUGCUUUUCUUUUAAUAAUUCUAUUAAUUUUAAAAGCAAAGCUUUAGGCACAAGUAUAAGCUUUAAAUCCCAUGAAACAUUUGAUAUUGUAGAGAUUAUCAUAGAUACUACAAUACUAGGAUCCACAUAUUUAAUCUCAUUAGGAGUUAAGGCAAAUGCCUUAUUAUGUUCAAUAAGCAUUUUGUCAAAAUAUAUUUUCCUCCAUUGAUGUCAAGAAAUCACCCCCUCCAAUCCUCAGCUUAACUAAUGAUUCUUGAAUAAAUUGAUAUCUAAUUUUACGCUUCUGUCUUAAACUUGGCUCAUUGAUUAUCUCCUUAAUAUAUUCUAUAGUAUCAAUUAAUAACUGCGUAGCUACAUGUUAUACCUUUCUUGCCACAAUUUUAUAUUUAAUUUAAACUUUGACCUCAUGUUUCAAUCCAUAGCUUGUGACAAAUCCACCAUUUUCUACCAUCUCUUUUAACUCUUCAUAAGUCCUUCUUGAGAGUGUUUCUAGUAUACCAUCUCUAUCCAUGUUUAUAGCUAAUUUUUUGAGUAUUUUUAUCAAAUCAUCUUCUAAACCUAUUUCUUCUAUUACUCUAACUAUGACUCAUCAUUUGAAACUAAAUCCGCUCUUUUUAAUUUUUUUUUUGUUUUUUUUUUAAUUAUUUAUUAAAUCUAAAUCUUUAAUUCUUUAAAUACUUACAAAUCCAUUACUAGUCAAGUUAAAAAAUCUAAAACUUAUAUUAUCUAUAUUUAAAUUUAUAGAUGAUUCAUUAGUAUCCAUGUCUCUCCAUUCUAUAAGGAUGCUCUCUAAAAAUCUACAAAGUUGUUUCUUGGCUCCAAAUGCAUCCUUCUUAAUUGUUUUUUGUUCCUUUCAUAGAUAGGUUUUAUAAUAAUAAAUUGCACAACUUUUCUUCCAAUCCAAUUACAAAUCUUGAUAUAAUGUGAACCAUCAUUCAAGAUUCUAGUCUCCAUCCUAAUAGAUGUAAUAUAAGAUUGAUCAAGUAUUACCUGAUAUAUAGUAGAAUUCUACACAAAGAAAUUUUAUUCAACUUCUAUAUCUCUAAUUUUAGUUUUUAUAGCUAGAUAAGUUCCAUAUAAAUCACCUUGUUGGUUGUUUGUAGCUCUAAUUAUCCAACCAUGGUUAAUAUCAAUUGGCUAGUUAUUCUUCUUAUAUAUUUGCCUUAACAUGAUGUUGAUUUCAGAUCCAUGAUUAUCUAAGGCCAAAAUUGGAUCUUUAGAAUCUUUCAAUCUCACAUAUAUCUCUAUAGUAGCUCUUGCUUUAUAAAGAAUUAAAUAGCUAUUACUUUUAAUUCCAUCAUUAUCACAUUUAGAGCAAGUAUUUAUAUAUGUUUCUUAUACAAUCUUCUUUAUUUCUAUAGAUGUCAAAGAUGUGGAUUCUCUUUGAUACUUUUUUAGAAUCUGAAUAUAUUUAAAUAGAGCCUCAUAUCUUAUAGCAACAUUACUUUUAGUUUUUGGCAUUACAAAUUAUCUAAAUACCUAUCUUAUUUCUUUUUUUUCAUCCAUAGUUACCCGUGAAUCCAAUGCCUCUACCAUAAUAGCUUCAACUCUCAUUUGUCUCUUCCUCUUUAUCACAUUGAUAAUCAACUCAUGAAAAUCCUUCUUAGCUAUAUUAAUAACAUCUUUCAGAGUGAAUUCAAUUUAGGUAUCUAAGAUCUUCUCCUCUAAAAUACUUUUUAUAUCUAUAGAUGGGUCAAUGUCAGAUUGAAUCUUGUAAGUAGGAUUCUUAUCUUUAAAUUUCCUUUUAUCAGCUUUUUCCUUCUCUUUGUCCUUCUUCUACCACUCUUUUGGUAAUAAUGUACCACUACAAUGAGUAAAAGAAGGCAUCUUCUUUGAUUUCUACUCUUUAAAAGCUUCUUUAUUCUUUAAAGACUUCUUUUUACUUUCAAUCUCAACAACAUCUUUCUCAUGAAUAGCUCUAUUUUUUUCUUCAACUAUAGCAUCAUGCAAAUCAUGAUCACAUUUUUUUUCAUAUAAAAAUACUUUAAUGCUAAUAGCAUCAACUAAAUUCUUUCAUUUAUUUAUUCUUUUGAUAGUUUCAACUCCCUUAAUCAUAGCUUUUGUAGUUGGUAAGGAAUUAGCCUAAAUUAUUUUUUUCUCAAUUGUAAUAGAAUAAGAUUCAACUCUUUUCUCUUCAAUGGCAUUAUUCUUUGGUGUUUGUUCUUCCACCGAUUUUUUUAUGCCAUCAUUUUCAAAAUUAGUUUUCAAAGGCUAAUCUAACCUUGUGAGUCUUAUCCUACCUUCUUUGAAAUAUAUAAUAUCAUCCUUGAUUGCAUUGUUAUAAUUAUUGUACUCACUAUGCUUAUAGUUUGGAUUAUCACACUACAUACAUGUUUCUACAAAUUCUUUUGAGCCUUCAAUUUUCUUUCAUAAGCUUCUUAUGUGGAAUUUCUUUAACUCAGUCAUUUCUACCUGCAAAUCUUAUAUGCUUUUGAUUAAUUCUUGAAGAAUGUCAUCAUUGACAAUCUCGCUCAAAUUUUAAAGUGGCAUUAGAUUUUAAAUUGUAGAUAUUGGCUCUAACUUUGAUAUUAAACCAUAAGUCUUAAUCUUUUGUUGCUUAGCCAAAAGUCCUAUUGUCUCUUUUAUUAAAUUCUAAUUAUAAUUAAAACCACUCUUAGAUAUCUUGUUUGCUAGAUAAAAGAAUAGCUUAUCUUCCAAGUUUUCAUCAAUUGCUUGCAAGAAUAAUCCAUAUUUUUUUGUUUCUAAAAUUUGCCUCUCUUUCCAUAGCAAUUGUUCAAACUUAGUUUCAAAUUCCUUGAUUAAUUCAUUUGGAGCCAUUUGAUUCUCUAGCCUUUACUCAAUGCACUUCAAAAAGUCUAUUUAGUCAUUUUCUCUAAGUAUUCUUCAAAAAAUUUAUCUUUCAAGAAUUUUUUAAAUUUCUUCUAUGAUGUAGCCAUAAUAUACAGAUCUUGUAUUUUUUUUUUUUAAUUUCUAGUAUUAUUGCCAAAUCAAAGGUGGUAAUCAUCUUGAUUUUUGAAACUUGAUGCACAUCCAUUUCACAUGUGUAAAUCUUUAAGAACUUAUUGAUAUUCCUUCUAUCAAACCUUUCAACCUUAUCUACUACUUGUAAAGCUUUGGUGGUAUUCCUAUCUUUUCCAUGCAUAUGUUGCUUCUCUUCUAUAAAUUGAAUAAAUUUCAAGGACAUGAAUCUCAAAGGAAGAAAAUCCUUAAUAUAUUCUUGUGUUACUCAAGAAAACUAGAAAGUUAUUCAAAGAUGAUAUAAUAUUAAACCAAAAUAGCUAUUGUCAAAAAUAAGAAUACUAAAACAUCUUAAAACAAGACUAAAGAAUAAAAAAUUAUUGAUAAGAAUGAAGAAGGCUUCACUCUUACCUCCAUACAUACUCUUAACUAAGAGCUAAGCUUUUAAUAAGCUUCUCUAAAAGAUCUUAUGAAAUUAACCUAUUUUUAUCUAAUUUUAUCUAUUCUUACCUAAUCAUAUAGGUAUUUAUUAGAAUAUCUAUGUAUAUUCAUGACAUUAUCUCCCUUUCUAGAAAUAAGUUCCAUGAAGAGUGAUCUCCAUAUGUUGAGAAAAUCCAAGAUGAGGUGAAUUAUAUUUGCCACAUAUUCCGAUCUUUGCUCUCUUUAAAGAUGGUUGAUAGGCCCUCUCAUCCAUCGAUAGUGUUCUAUACCAAGAUAAGAAGACCACCUUGUUACUUAAUCCAUAUUAAAGCCUUCAUAACUUCCUUCAAAUAAAAUAUUUGGAACACUAUUAGGAGUUAUUUUUACUUCUAAUAAAAUCAUCAAACAUGUAGAGUCUCUUCCAAGGUCAUGAUAGCAAACACAUUGUAUCUAGCCAUCUAUUCAAAGAAGGACAUGUUAUUCAUGAGGAUCUUUAUCUCAAUUUCAUCAUCUUGAAGGUUGUGACAAUUGCAAUGUCUUGUCUCAUAAGUCUGCAAAUAAAAGCUUUUGAGUUGAAUCUGUUGGUUGUUGGUUCUCCAUCUCCUUAACUACACAGAAGCUACAAAGAAAGAUAAAAAAUAAAGUGUUAUCUUCUUUUGAUCUUAUUUCUUUUAUAAAAAAGAUUUGCUAUUUUUUAUCUUAGUUUUAAUGGAUGUCGUUGAUGAAAGGCUUCAACUCCCUUUGUUGCAUUUGCAAGAUUCUUUGUUGGCUCCUAUGUACAUUCAUUAAUAUCAUAUUCAUGCCAAUGAAUAAGAUAUUCCAACCUAUUUUGACACCGCAUUGAGUCUAAGACUUCUUCCACCUUGAGCUCUUGAUUAUUAUCCACUUCUAUAAGAGGAGGUGGCAUUUGUUUUCUUUCCAAAAUAUUCAUUGUCUUAUACAGCUCAAGAAGAGAUAUAUGAAAUAUAAGAUAGAUCUUCACAGACUCCGAUAGAUGUAAUUGAAAAGCAACAUCAUUGUUUUGUUCACAAAUAGAAAAAGGUCCUAACUUAUAAUAGUUUAACUUAUCUCAAGGACAAGUAGUCUUAAUGUUGCGAUGAAGUAACCAUAUCUUGAAUUGUGCUUACUCCUUACGAUAGGCAUCCACCUUGGUCUUUUGUCAUUCUUUAGCUUUCUUUAAUUGUGUCUUCAUUAUUGUAUAUAGCUGUGAUAAAUAAUUUAUUAAAUCUUGUGCUGCAAGAUUAUGAAUUUUUGAAAAGUCAAAAGUAUCAAGUUGUGGAUGAUAACCAUAAUUGGCUUAGAAAGAUGUUUGUUGAGUAGAAGAAUAUACCAAAUUAUUGUAUGUAAAUUUUGCCAAUGGCAAAAGAAUUUUCUAAUCAUCUUGAUGAUAGUGGACGGUAUACCUCAAAUAUUAUUCUAAAACUUGAUUCAUCCAUUCUAUUUGUCUAUCAAUUUUAGGAUGAAAAGUCAAAGAGAGCUUUAUAUCCACCUUUAGAAUCUUGAAUAGGAUUGUCUAAAAUCUUGAUACAAAUUGAGUCUUCCUAUCUGAUAUAAUAUCCUUUGAGAAUCUAUGAUUGCGACAAAUAUUGUCAAUAAAAAUCUCAAAUGUUUCUUCACAAGAAAUAGAUUUUGUACAUAAUAUAAAAUAUUCCAUUUUAAUGAAGUAAUCUAUGAUCACAAAUAUAGAAUUAUAUGAACUUGAAUUCAGAAGAUUUUUAAUAAAAUCCAUAGAAAUAAAAGAUUAUGGUUGUUCAAAUAUAGGCAAUGGUUGGAGAAGUCCAUAAGAUUGAUGAAAAGGAGUUUUUGAUCUUGAAUAAACGUCACAUAAUUGGACAAAGUUUUUUAUCACCUUCCACAUUUGCAACCACCAAAAAUAUUUGGAUAUAAGCUCUAAAGUCUUAUUAUAUCUAAAAUAUCAUAUUAUUAAAAAGUCAUGAUGUACUUGAAGAAUAAAUAAAUGUGCUUCUCCUUUUAAAAUAUAUAGGCGUUGUUUAAAAUAGAGUAAGUUUUUCUUGAAAUCAAACUUUAAAACAUCAUGAGACUUAGAAAAAAGAUUCUUAAUAUCAUAAACAAGAACAACAAAGGACAAACUUGAUUGAAUUUAUUUGACAAAGGUCAAAUCAACAAUCAAUGUUUAUUUCAUUGCUCAAAGAUGAAAAUAUUCUAGUGCUAAGAGGAUUGUUCCUUAUUGAUCAAAAGAUAUGUCUCCUUCUUUUGGUACAAGAUAAGAUUAUUUAAAUAGAGCAUUUGAUAAAUCUUUUUUAUUUUUCAAGUCGAUAUGUGAUCUUGAAAUCAAAUCUUGAUAAUGACAUGCUUCAAGAGGCUUGGCAACAAUUCAAAACAUGUGUCAACAUGAAAUACUUAAGGUUCUUGUGAUAUGUAUAUACUGUAACUAAACUUGAGGUGCCUUCUAGUUAAUGAUGCCAUUCUUAAAAUGAAUCCACAAUUGAAAAAAGUUCUUUCUCAUGGAUCUCAUAGUUAAUCUCGAGUGCUGAAAAUUUCAUGGAAUAGAAAGCUACUGGAUGGAAUUUGUCAUCUGUUUCCAUUUGUGACAAUAUUAUAUCCAAGGCAAAGUCUGAUGCAUUUGUUUCCAUAAAGAAUGCCUUAGAAAAGUUGACAUGCUACAAAGUUGGUGAAGAAGUAAAUUCCUUCUUCAAAGCAACAAACAAUGCUUCGACUUCUUUAUUCCACUCAAGUUUGUCUUUAUAAGUCAAAUGUGUUAGUAAAGCUAUUACUUGAGAAAAAUUCUUAAUAAAGAUUCAAUAAUAAUUGACAAAGUCCAAAUAGCAUUGCACAUCUCUUACUGCUCUUGAGAUCUUUCAAUCUAUGAUAAUUUGGACCUUCUUUGGAUCCAUCAUAAGGCCUUUAUUAGAAAUGAUGUAUCUCAAAAAUUCAACUUGAGUAGUGUGGAAUACACACUUUUUCAUCUUUGCAUAUACUCAUGUAUCUUUUAGUUUUUGUAAUAUAUGAUGAACAUAAACUUCAUGCUCUUUUGUAUUCUUAGAAUAGAUUAAAAUAUCAUCUAAAUAAUAGAUGACAAAAUCAUGAAAAAACUUACAAAAGAAAUCAUUCAUUAGAUAUUGAAAAGCAAGUGGUGCAUUCAUGAGUCCAAAAAGUAUGACAUUAUAUUCAAAAUGUCCAUACCUAGUUCAAAAAACAGUCUUCAAUUCAUCUCCUUCUUUGAUGCAGACCAAAUUAUAUGCUCUUUGUAGAUCUAUUUUUGUAUAGAUCUUUGGUUGAUUUAGUUGAUGAAGAAGUCCUAAAAUCAAAAGUAGAAGGUAUAUGUUCUUGGUGUUGAAUUUGUUGAGUCCCUGAUAAUCAACACAUCCGUUGAAAGCCAUCUUUUUUCUUCUAAAAUAAGAUAAAAGUACUUAUUGGAAAUUUAAAAUGGUAUAUAAAGUUCUUAGCCAAGUUCUUCUCAAUGUAUUCCUUGAGUAUAGCCAACUCAUUUUGUGAUAGGCUAUAGAUUGGUCCAAAUGAUGGUUAGAUUUGUUCUUGAAGAUUAAUGGAACAAUCAUAAGGACAAUGCUCUAGAAUUUUUUUUGUAUUCUUCUUUUUAAAAACAUCCUGAAAAUCUUGAUACUGGCUAGGAAUACCACUUGAUAUCUUAUCACCAUGAAAAUGGAGGUGGCACAUAUAGCAAAAGAUGGCUAUUUAUUUGCAGCAUAUAUGAAAGCUUUCGCAUCUACUAAUAAGGGUUUAGAUAUACUAAACUUAUGGAUUUCUACUUGCCUAACAGGAUCUUGGGCUAAACUAUGGAAAAAAUCGAGAUUGCAAGAGAUCCAAUUUAUCUGAGGGUUUUAUCUUUCUAACCACGAUAGUCCUAAAUUAAUUGGAUUAGGAGGAGAUUUAAUUACAUUAAAUAUUGCUAAACUAUUGUGACCACUAAUUGUUACUUCUACAAGAAUGGUUUCAUAUAUAACAUCCCCAGAAGAUAAUGAACAUCCAUCUAUUACUUCUAGAUGCACAUGUUUGAUUUUCUUAAAUAAGGAUAUAUCUUAUUUUUUGACAAAGUCUUCAUCUAUAAAAUAAGUUGAGGCUCCUAAAUCCAACAAAGCUAAGACUUUGUGGUAUUUUGGUCAUAAAUAAAUUUCUAUUCUAAAAUAAGGUGAGGGAUCAAAAGAGACAAUAGGAUCUUUGCUAGAUGUUGCAUAUGAUUUCAACUGCAGAGUCUCUAUUGUAAUUAGAACAACUUAUUUUUUGACACAUUGUCUUCUUUGGCAAUUGUGCUUUUUUAUUUUGUAAUUAUAAUAUUUCUUUGGAUAAUAUUUAGUAGUAUGUUUAGAUGCUCCACAAUAUAAGCACAAGCCCUCUUAAUGUCAUUGACUAUUUUUUUGCUCUAUAAAAGAUUUUAAAUGUACCGUAUCACUUUGCAUUACUUCUCACUUUGAUAAAUAAGUUUCUAAAAACUUGGGAGCUUCCAUCAUUAUUUGAUUUGUUCUUCUCUAGCCAUAUCUUUGUUCUUGAUGUCUUUCAAAUAAUCAAUUGUCACAUGCAAUGGCUUGAGCAAUAAAUUAUUUCAAAGAUUUUGUCGUUGAUAUUGUCAAUAAAAAGUCUUUGAUAUUAUCUUUCAAUCCAUAUUGAAAUUCAUUGAUAAGUUCUUUAUCAUUCCAAUCCACAUCACAAGCAAGGUUUUGGAAUUUAAUAGCAUAUAUGGUAGCUGAUCGUGAUCCUUGCUGUAAAGAUAAAUGCUUGGUCUUUGCUACUCUUUUUUGAUCACUUUAUCCAAAUUUGGCCAUAAACCCUUCUAAGAAUGAAUUCAAAUCAUAAAAGAGUCUCAAAUCUUUUUCCAUUAAAUAUACAAAUUAAGAGAGACGACUUCUUAAUAGAAAUGUACUUAUAAAUUUGACUUGAAUAAAUCCAUUGAGAUAUUAGAAAAGGUGCAAUUUUAGAUAAAACUUGACCAAUUAUAAAAAUCCUUGAAAUUUUGAUCUUGUUCCAUCAAACUUCUUAGGCAUACUAAUCCUUGUCUCCAUCAUACUUGUAAAAGCAAAAUUCCUUGGAUUUAAUUGUCAAGUCGAUCUACUUACUUCUUUCAACUGCACAAUUUCUUGCUGCAGACUCUGAACUUCUUCCAUAGUUGUAAGCAUAGUACCUCCAUGAUUCACAUUAGAAAUACGUAAGAUUUCUACUUUUAGAGUGUUGACAAGCUCAUGAAGAUCUAUAAUAAUUGUAAAUCUCUUCUCACUUUGACUAAGAAUAGCAUUCAUAAUCUUUCCUUCCAUAGACAACUCAAAAAAAUCCAAAAUAUUAAAUUAGAGGAAGGUAAUCUACAACUUCUAAUAAAAAUUUCCACAAAGAAGGAUAAUCCACUGUCUUUAAGAAAAUGAUCAGUAUUAGAAAACAAGAUUUUUUGUCUAAAGGUGAAUAACUAGCAACCUUCAAAAUAUAACAAUAGAAGUGGAAUAAUUCACUCACUUCUAAAACAAGAUAAAAAUAAUAUAUUAGCACUCUUGUCAAACUAUCAAAGACAUGAAUCUCAAAAAAAAAAAAAAAUACUCAAUACACUCUUGUGUCACUGAAGAGAACUAGAAAGUCACUCAAAAGAUGAUAUAAUAUUAAACUAUAAUGACUAUUAUCAAAAAUAAAAAGACUAGAAAGUCUUGAAACAAGACUGAAGUCUAGAAAGGCAUUGACAAGUGUAAAGAAGGCUUUACUCUUGCCUCCAUAUAUACUCUUAACUAGGAGCUACAUGGCGUUGUUCUAUAGGACCUCUAUACAUGUUGACUUUAUAAGACACGUAUCUUAACUUAUAAGAUAAAUUUUCUAUAUGUGUACUACAUAGUUAACUUGUUCCACAAGCUAUCAAUACAUGAUUAUCUUAUUGACAAAGUUUUUAACCAAUCAACUACAAACACAUGUAAAGUCAAGUAACAUCUAUGAAUCUUUUAGGAAGCUUCUCUUAAAGAUCUUGUAAAAUUAACCUACUUUUAUCUACUUUUACUUAUUCCUACCAUGGUCAUACAAAAUUUGUAGCAUAUUAGCCUAUGAUGCAAUUACUUUCUUAAGCAUCUACAUUCAAGGAGAUAGUGGCUUUUAUACCUUAACAAAGAAAUUCACCUAUUUAACAACGUGAAGAAUCUUAGAUUAAUCUUUCAAAAAAAUUUGAUGGCACAUGCUCAAAAUUUUGAAGGUUUUUUAACUAAAUUUUAUUGGUAACUUUUCUAGAACUUAAGUGCUAUCCAAUAAAAGAUUUGCAAGUUGAUUGAGUUAGAACCUUAUUUACAUCACAAGCCUUUUUUUUAUUUGCUUCUUUAUUUGAAAAGAGGUCUCCAAUCUUGAAUGAUUUUGAAGCUUUUUUAUAAGCAUUCGUAGAGGUAUUUGAAAAAUAUGAUAAGACCUAAUUAAGAACAAUAAAGAUUUACUCAUUACAUCAAGGGUUAUAUUCUACAUCAAUUUAUGUAUUUGAUUUUAAGCAAUUGACUUGUGAUAUCAAUUUAAUUGAAUAAGCUCGUAUGAACCAAUUUUAUUGGAAAUUAAGAAAUGAUGUGAAUAACCUAUCACUAUCAUUAUUUGAUUCUCAAAUACUUAAUGAAGCUAUUAACCAAGCUAUGAAGUGCGAUAAUCAAUUAUUUCAAUGCUAUCAAGAUCAACAGUUGUAGACUUUAACAAAGUAAUGCACUAAAAAUUUGUAUUCUACUACUUCAAUAAAUAUAUUAUUUCUAAACUCUAAAGCUGAAGAUAUACAAAUUAAUGCAAGAUUAUUCAAAAUCUUUAGAAUAAAAGAAAAGAAAUGUCAAUUUGAACAACAUUUAUGCUUGUAUUUUGGUGAAGAAGGCCACAAAUCUGAAAACUAUCCAAAAAAAAUAACAUACAACCAAGACUAGGAGUGCAAUCAUUUAAGAAAACAAGGAGGCUUAGCGACAAUAAGGACCAUGCAGCUAAAAUUUCUAACACUUUAAAUUUAUGAAGGUCCCUCUAUCUUUGUACAACUUCUUUGUUUUACUAUACAUUUAUUUCAUAGAUCAUAAAGACUUCAAAAAAAUACCUUAUUAGAUUCAAGAGCAUUUGCUUGCUUUUUAGAUGAAGAAUUUUUUAACUUCCUAAAAUUCCUUUAGUACAAAAGUCAAGAUAUGCAUAUGUAGAAGUAAUGGAUGGUCGACUUUUAUCUUCAAGCAAUAUUACUUAUGAGACUAUAUUACUAAAAUUAUUAUUUAAGUGCUAUAUUAAUAAAAAUAAUAUAUUAUAUUAUUAAAAUUCUAUCUAAUCCUAUCAUUCUAUGACUUUUGUGGUUAGAAAGAUAUAAUCCAUUUAUAAAUUGGAGAUUUCAUAAGAAUGAAUUUUCUAUAGAAAUUUUUUAGGCAAAACCUAUCAAAAAGUCAUCAACAAUAAAGUCUUUAUUUCUUGGAACAAAGACUUUUAUGAAGAUAUCUAAGAAAGAAAUAUCAUUUUUAAUUUAUGCAACUCCAGCUUGUGAAGAAGCAAGCUUACUAUUAUUUAUCUUAGAGCAAUAUAAAAAAUUAUAAGAUGUCUUCAAAAAAAUAAAUGUUAACAUAUUUCCAAAGCAUCAAUUAUAUGAUUGUACCAUUGAUCUUCAAGAAGGGGCUCAACCACUAUUUGGAUUAAUCUACAACCUAUCAUAAAACAAGCUUUUGGCAUUAAAGGAUUACAUUGAAAAAAAAUCUUGCAAAGAACUUUAUUUGACAUUCUAAAUCUUUAAUAUGUGCAUCAAUACUUUUUGUGAAGAAAAAAGAUGGAUCUUUGCAAAUGUGUGUUGAUUAUUGUGGCCUCAACAAAAGAAUGGUGAAGAAUCAUUAUCCAUUAUUAUUUAUUUCAAGGCUUUUAGAGUAAUUCGAUCAAGCUAAGAUCUAUACUAAAAUAGAUCUCCACAGAACAUAUAAUUUGGUACAAAUUUUAAAAAAAAAAUGAAUGGAAGAUAAUAUUUUGGACAAGAUACAAAUAUUUUGAAUAUAAUUUCAUGCCUUUUGAAUUGACAAAUAUUCCAACUAUAUUCUAGAAUUUUAUGAAUGAGGCUUUUUGAGAAUUUUCAAACAAAUUUAUUGUGUGCUAUCUUGAUGAGAUUUUUAAUCUACUGUAGGACUCUUGAAGAAUAUAAAGAACAUUUGAGAUUAGUCUUAGAAAAGUUAUAAAAUAAGGGAUUAUAAGCCAAAUUGGAGAAAUGUGUAUUCCAUUAGCCAAAAGUAGAUUUUUUUGGAUAUAUUAUGUCUAAUAAAGACAUGUUGAUUGAUUUGAAGAAAAUUUAAGCUAUAAUUGAAUGAAAAAUUCUAAAUAUAGUAUAAAAUAUAUAAUAUUUUUAAAAAUUUAUAAAUUUCUAUCAGAUAUUUAUCAAAAAUUACUCCCAAGUUGCUACUCUUCUCACUUGAUUGACAUCCAAAGAUAAAUUAAAAUUGGGACUUCAAAUAAAAAGGGCUUUUUAAGUUUUGAAGGCAGCUUUUAUUAUAGCUUCAAUCUUAUUACAUCCAAAUUUCAUGAAAGCCUUUUAUUUUAAGAUUGAUGCGCCUAACUUUGUAUUCGAAGUUGUAACAACAUAAAUAGAAAAAAACAGAAAGCUCCAUCCAAUUAUAUUUUAUUUUAGAAAGUUUUUAAUUACAAAGAUUAAUUAUGAAAUUUACAAUAAAGAAUUUCUUGUAAUUCUAGAUUCUUUUCAAGAAUGGUGUCACUUAAUGGAAAGUACUAAAAUUAUUUAUAUAGAUAUAUGUUGUGUAUCCAGAUCACAAAAAUUUGAAAUAUUUCAUACCAACUUGAAUUUUGAAUCUCCACCAAGUUCAUUGAAAUAUGUCUUUAUAUUGUUUUGAUUUUAUAACUAUAUAUCAACUACAAAAAAAACAAUGACUAUCAAAUGCUUUACUAAAGAAAUCAUAUCUUGCUCUAAAGAUUGGAGAAGUAGCAUUUGAUCAGCAAUAUACCACUCUUUUGAAGCCAAAACUAUGUUGUCUUUGUAUUGCUUCUAUGAUUACAUCUAUUGAUUCAAGUUUUUUUUGAAUAAAUUUGUACAACAUUAGCUAAAAACUCAUUACUUUGUAAUAUUAACCAGAGCCUUGACAACAAUAACUUUAAGAUCAUAGAAGAUCUUUUGUAUUUAAAGAUUGUUUAUAUAUUUCAGUAUCACAGACAUACUCAUGUAAGUUAGUAAUUACAUAUAUAAAUAAGUAGAAGUAAGUAAAAAUAAAUAAAAAUAAGUUAAUUCUAUAGUAUUUGAUAUGAAAGCUUUCUAGAAGCUUCAUAGACACUGCUUUGAUUUCAUAGAUGUCUUUAAUUGACUUUUUGGAUUAGAAAUGUGGUCAACAAGUUGGCCAUAUGCCACACAUGUUGUUAGCUUGAAGACCAAGCUAACUAUGUGGCCCACACGUAGAAAAACUUGCCUUGUAAGUCAAGGCAUGUGUCCUACAAAGUCAACACAAAUUGGAGGUCCUAUAGAAUGUCGCCAUGGAGCCUCUAGCUAGAUAGUAUAUAUAGAGACAAGAGUGAAGCCUUCUUCACUCUUGUCAACUCCUUUCUUAUCUCUAGUCUAGUUUCAAGAGUUGUCAUAUUUUCUAGUCUUUGGCAAUAGCCAUUCUAGUUCAAUAUAUUAUCACCUUUGAGUGAUUUCUAAGUAUUUUCAAGUGACACAAGAGUGUAUUGAGAUUAUCUUUCUUUGGAGUUCAUAUCCUUGAUAUUCAGAAGGAUUGAUGCAACUUUAUGUUCUUCAAUCUCGUCAUAAUUUUAUAAGUGUAGGGCAUUUUAAAUUUAACAAAAUAUUAGAACUUAUUUCUUGAGAUUUUUGGUGGCUUCAAAUGUGAAAUACUUUGAAGGACUUUGUCUUUUUGUAUGACAUUUAUUGAAGAUUUAAGAAUUUUUGAUAUUAUCCUUAUAGACUUCUUAUCAAAGACAAGGUUUCAAUGAAAGAAAAUAACCAAGUGAGACUUUUUUCAAAGAAUUAUGAUAAAAUAUAUAUAUAUAAAAGAAACUAAAAUUAAUAUUAUUAAAAGAUAAAAAAUUAAAGAUUCUUGAAUCUAAAUUAGAGCAAAAAAAAUUGAUAAGAGUAAAAAAAAAUACUUCACUCUUGCCUCUAUAUAUACUAUCCACUUAGGAAUUAUGUGGCGACAUUCUAUAGAACCUCUAAUAUGUGUUGACUUUACAAGCUACAUGUCUUAACUUACAAAGCAAGUUUUCUAUGUAUGCACUAUAUAGUUAGCUUGUUCCACAAGCUAUUCACAUGUAUAACACAAGGUUAACUUGUUGACCAAGUUUUUAACUUAAAAGUCAACUAUACAUGUAUAAAGUCAAAACCGUGUCUAUGAAGCUUCUAAGAAGCUCUUCUAGAAGAUAUUAUAAAAUUAAAUUAUUUUUUUUUAAUUUUAUCUACUUCUAUCUAAUCAUAGAAGUAAUGAUUAUAAUAAGUAUGUAUGUCCCUGACAAUAUAUCCAUGAUACUUCUAUAGCCACUAUCAAUUUCAAAGCCAUAAUGGUUUUUAAUAUCAAUGGAUUUCAUCAUUGAUAUAUUGCCCUCAAUUACAUUUAAUGCCAUCUAAAUUGUUGUGGAUUGAUUUACAGAGAUGGCAUAUUUUUUCUUUAUAAAAAGAUAAUUUUUUUAAAAAUAAUAAUAAGGAUUUUUUUAGACAAUAUAUAUUAAUAUCAUGGACUACCUGAUGAUAUCAUUUUUUAUUAAAGAUGUCAAUUUAUAUCAAUGUUUUAGAAAUUACCUUUUGAGAUAUUGAAGGUAGAUAUCAAACUUUCUUUUGUCUUCUACCUUCAAAUUAAUGCUGAAAUAUAACAAGUUAUUCAAAUUUUAGAAUAGUAUUUGUAAUAUACCAUCAAUUAUUGACAAGAUGAUUAAAUCUCAUAUUGUCAAGAACAAGAACUUGAUAAAAACAAAUAAACAAGUAAAACUUUUUUCAAAGAAAGGUGACAAAAUAGAAAUAACUAUAUAUAUAUAUAUAUAUAUAUAUAUAUAUUAAAAAAGAAACUACAUUAGCUAUUACCAAAAGAUAAAAAAAUUAGAGACCCUUGAAACUAGAUUAGAAGCAAGAAAGAAGUUGACAAGGGUGAAGAAGGCUUCAUCCUUGCCUCUAUAUAUACUAUGUACUUAAGAACUAUGUGACGACAUUCUAUAGGACCUCCAAAAAUGUGUUGACUUUACACAACAUGUAUCUUAACUUACAAGGCAAGUUUUCUAUGUAUAUACUGAAUAGCUAGCUUAUUCAGUAAGCUACCAACAUGUAUGGCAUGUGGUUAACUUGCUGACCAAGUUUCUAACCUACCAAUCAAGUAUAAAUACAUAUAAACUCAAAGCAGCACCUAUGAAGCUUUUCUAGAAGAUAUUAUGAAAUUAAUCUAUUUUUAUCUAAUUUUAUCUAUUUAUAUCACCUAGAUAAUAAUUAUAGUAAAAAAAUAUUUGUGAUAUUACUUCCCUUUCUAGCGACGAGUUCCACGAGGAGCGAUGAUCACAUAUUGAGGAAGUCUAAGAUGUCGCAAAUUGUAUUUGUGACAUACUCUAAUCUUUGUUCUUUUCAAAGAUGAUUGAUAGGACCUUUCAACCAUCGAUAGUAUCUCACACCAAGGCAGAAAGAUGUCACAGACAUAUAUUUACUGUAAUUAUUAUCUAUGUGAUAUGAAUAGGUAGAAAUAAAUAAAAAUAGAAUAAUUUCAUAAUAUCUUCUAGAAAAGCUUCCAAGAAGCCUCAUAGAUGUUACUUUGACUUUACAUGUGUUUAUACUUAAUUGAUAGAUUAGAAACUUGGUCAACAAGUUAACCACGGACCACACAUGUUCAUAGCUUUUAGAACAAGCUAACUAUGUGGCGUCCACAUAGAAAACUUGCCCUGUAAGUUAAGAUACGUGUUGUGCAAAGUCAACAUAUUUUUGGAGGUCCUAUAGAACAUCCCCAUGUAGCUCCUAGAUAGAUAGAAUAUAUAGAAGCAAGAAUGAAGCCUUCUUCACUCUUGUCAAUUCUUUUCUUGCUUCUAGUGUAGUUUCAAGGAUUUCUAGUUUUCUUGUCUUUUGGCAAUAGCUAUUUUAGUUUCUUUCUUAAUAUACAUAUUGAAUUAUUUUUAUUUUGUCAUCUUUCUUUGAAAAAAGUCUCACUUGUUUAUUUAUUUUUAUCAAGUUCUUGUCCUUGAAAAAUUGACAAGAGUGCACUUACAAUAUUAGAGCUUUGUCUAAUCUUGAUUAAGAGUGGAUUAUUCAUUUCUCUUAAUAAGACAUAAGCGUAUUAGAAGUUGCGGAUUACCCUCUUCUAAACUGAUAUUGUUCGUAGUAUUUUCUUUGUUCUCAAGUCCUCUCUUCUAUUUGUCUUGAGUGAUAUUAGACAUCUUUUCUUUUGUAAGUGUUAUUAUGGCAGAACUUACUGAAAUGAAGAGUACAAUAGCACAAAUGCAAGAGCAAUUGAGGAAGUUAAUGCUUACAAUGCAGCAAUUCAAUUUACCACCACAAGGAGCAACAAGAUUGGCAGGAAGUGAAGAUAUAGAAAUGAUUGGAGCUGCUUCAAUAUCUACACCAAAUUAUGUCCCUUCUCUUAUAGUGGAAUGCCCUUCUAGUCUUAAAGAACCUAAAAUUGUCUUACUCAAGAAGUUUGAUUGCACUAGAGUAAAGUUUAGAGGAUUUAUAAAUCAAGUAUAACUUGUGAUUGAACUUCAACCCGAAAGCUAUCCAACUCCAUGAUUGCAAGUUAGAUUCAUUGAUAUGCUUCAAAUUCAGCAUUAUCAUGGUUUUUAUCUUUUUUUGAAUGACAAAAUCCAAUAUUGGAUAAUCUUGAGGUAUUUUUUGGCAGAGUUUCGAUCCAUGUAUAGAGAACAUGAUGCAAUUUGUAUUGCAACCAACAAGAUCCGUACUUUGUAACAAGACAAUCGAUCAAUAACAUUAUACGCUUCACAGUUUUGACAACUUACAACUGAUAUCAAGUGGGAUGAUGCAGCACUUGUUAGCCAAUUUCUCUACGAAUUACAAUAUGAGGUAAAAAAAUUAAUGCUCAACUUACCUGAUCCUCAAAUAUUGAAUCAAGAAAUUGACUUUGCUGUGAAGUGCGACAAUCAUCUUUCUGAAUUUUCAUUUGAGAACCAUAAAAAUAGACCUUAAUAUUACUAUAAUUCAAUGGCAACACCAACAUCUCUCCAACUCAUACAUUCGGAAGUAGAGGAUAUGCAAAUUGAUGCGGUACAUUUCAAACCUCUUACUAAGCAAAAAAAGACUCGUCAUUGUUAGGAAGGAUUGUGCUUAUAUUGUAGAGAACCUAAGCACAUUACUCAACAUUAUCCAAAGAAGUGAUCCAAUCAUAAAAUAAGGAGUACGGCUAUCAAAGAAGAUAGUAUCUCCAAAAAUGAGUUUAUCCAACUAUAAUAGGGACCGUGCGAUUGGAACCUUGUACAAUACCUAGUGUAGGUCUUAGUCUCUACUCUAAAUCCUCUCUUUGUUUUACGAUAAAUGUUAUUCUAGGACCUAAAUAUCACAAAGCCUAUGCCUUCUUAGAUUCACGAGUCUCAACAUGUUUCUUAGAUGAAGAAUAUGCUAAAAGACAUAGCAUACUUUUAAUAAAGAAAACUAAACUUGUUCAUGUAGAAGUCAUAGAUGGUCAUCCAUUGUCUUCAAAAGAUAUUACUCAUGAAAUCCUUCCUAUAGAAGUAGCAAGUAAUGGUCAUAGUAGCUUUGUAAUAUUUAAUAUCAUUAGAUCUCCUUCUAAUCCAGUCAUUUUAGGUUUAUCAUGACUAGAAAAAUAUAAUCCUGAAAUAGACUAGAUUUCUCGUAGUCUUGACUUUUUUGAAAGUAUAACUAAGAGCAUAGUUUAUCAAGUAGAAAGUCAUAAGUCUAGUACAAUUAAACUUGUAAUUGUAGGUGCAAGAUCUUUCUUGCAUGAUGCAAAAGAAGGAUCACCUUCUGUCAUUUGUGCCACAUCUGUUUCUACUAAUGGAAAGACUUCAAGUGGCAUUCUAAGCCAAUAUCAAGAUUUUCAAGAUGUAUUUGAGAAGAAAAAUGCAGAUACUCUUUCGGAACAUCAUUCCUAUGACUACUCAAUUGACCUUCAAGAAGGAGCACAAUCGCCAUUUAGACCAAUCUAUAAUUUAUCUCAAAAUGAAUUGGCUGAAUUCAAGGAGUAUAUUGAAGAGAAUCUGGCCAAGAACUUCAUACGCCAUUCCAAAUCUCCAACAAGAGAUCCAAUUUUAUUUGUGAAAAAAAAAAGAUAGAUUAUUACGGAUAUGUGUCGAUUAUCGAGGACUCAACAAAAUCACCAUUAAAAUUAGGUACCUGCUACCUUUAAUAUCUGAACUCCUUGAUUAGUUGAAUCAAGCUAAGAUCUAUUCAAAAAUAGACCUACAAGGAGCAUACAAUCUAGUACACAUCAAAGAAGGAGAUGAAUAGAAGACUACGUUUCGAACAAGGUAUGGACAUUUUGAAUACAACGUCAUGGCUUUUGGACUUAUAAAUGCACUAGCAUUAUUCCAAUAUCUAAUGAAUGAUGUCUUUGAGAGUUUUUAGAUGAUUUUAUUAUCUGUUACCUAGACGACAUCUUAAUCUAUUCUAAGAACAUAGAAGAACAUGAACUUCAUAUUUGUCGUAUGUUACAAAAACUAAGAGAUGCAGUACUCUAUGCCAAGAUAGAAAAGUAUGUAUUUCACACUACUCAAGUCAAAUUUUUAGGAUACAUCAUUUCAAAUGAUGGACUUAUGAUGGAUCCUAAGAAAGUUCAAGCUAUUAUAGAUUGGAAGAUCCCAAAAACGGUAAGAGAUGUCCAAUGCUUUUUGGGAUUUGCCAAUUACUAUCGAAUCUUUAUCAAAGACUUCUCUCAAGUUGCACCUCCACUUAUACAUUUGACUUGUAAAGACAACCUUCAAUGGAAUCAAGGAGCAGAAGUAGCAUUUGAAGCCUUGAAAAUAGCCUUUGUUUUCGCACCAAUCUUGUAUUGCAUGAAUUUUUUUAAGCCAUUUUUUAUAGAAAUAGAUGCAUUAGACUUUGCUUUGGGUGCCCUAUUGUCACAAAUGGAAACAAAUGAUAAACUUCAUCAAGUAGCUUUUUAUUCUAGAAAAUUUUUAACAGUCGAGAUCAACUACGAGAUCCAUGACAAAGAACUUUUUGUAAUUGUAGAUUCAUUUCAAGAAUGGUGCCAUUAUCUAGAAGGUACUCUUAGUCUAAUCACCGUAUAUACAGAUCACAAGAACCUUGAAUAUUUUAUAUCAGCACGUAUCUUGAAUUGUUGCCAAGCUCGUUGAAAUAUGUCUUUAUCAAGAUUCGAAUUCAAGAUCACUUGUCGACCGAAAAAACAAUAAGAUUUGUCAGAUGCACUCUCUAGAUGAUCUUAUCUUGCAUCAAAGGAAGGAGAUGCUACUUUUGAUCAACAAUUGACAAUUCACUUGAAGCUCGAGCAUCUUCAUCUUCGAGUAAUGAAAUCAAUACUAAUUAUUGAUUCAACUUUCAUUAAGCAAGUUCAGUCAAGUAUGUCUUCUGAUCCUCUUAUUUGUGAUAUUAAGAGAAAUCCUUCAAAUAAUUAAUAUCUCUUAAAAGGCUUUGUUGGAGAUUAGAGCAUUCCUUCAACCUCCAACCUUCCAUGUAUAUAUUCCUUCAAAUUGAAGAUAAUCCACUGCCACUCAUAUCUUGUAUAACAAAUCGCAUAUUUUAUAUAAAUUUUAUAAGCUUUGUGGUUGCCAAUACUUAUUAAGUGUUAUAGAUACAUCUUCAUAUAAGAUACUAUAUAAAUCAUUGCUCAAAUGAUUUGACUUUAAACAACUUUUUAUACAAAAACUUGAUCUUAUAGAGAUAAAAGAUGUGUUUUUCAAAUGAUACUAGUUAUGUAAUUAUGUGGAUAAAGUGCUUGUAACUUGACUCUCUUAUUAUAUAUAUAUAUAUAUAUAUAUAUUUGUGAAAUUUGAUGAGAUUUUUUGGAUUCAUGUGAUUGAACAAGCAAGCAUUGACAAUCUUGAGGUUGCUUAAUUGAUUUGAAAAAGUGGCAUAGAUGGUAUAGAAGAUCUCACCUGUGUGCUAGGAACAAGAACAGGAAGAUUAUCCUUGUGUUGUGGAUGCCGGGGGAUUAUCCUCAAUUUGAAGAGAUAUGUGCAUAGCUGGAAGGGGGGUCUGAAGAUUGAACCAAUCCCCAACAAAGCCUCUCAGGGGACGGUAAUUAUUUUUGCAGUCCUUUGAAUAUAUAUUGCAGUUCCCUACAACCCCGUCCGUCGUUUGGAGGUGUUGGGACGGGGGAUGGGAACAAGAGCAGAAACAAGGAAAGAGAGGAUUGGGAUAAGGAAUGUGGGCUAGGAUGAGAACGUGGGACGGAGAACAACAAGAUUGGAAUAGAGAACAGAGGAUACAAUGUCGGUUGUGAUAGGUGGAUCAAAUAAAUGGCCAACGUUGCAUGAAGCCAAAACAAUGGUGGAAGCUUAUUGGGGUUGUGCAAACCACCGACGAAGUCCCGACGCACCGCUUUGAGGAACGAAGCAAUUCGCCGAAGAGAGAGAGAGAGAGCAAGUAGAGUGGCAUCGUCGUUACUGUUUCGAUCACCGCUUCACUUUUCGGCGUCGACUUUCAACAUCGAAAUUUGAGAGGACGAUGGAAAUAUGUGGACGAAUGAUUCCGCAGGGAAAGCCACGAAGAAGCCGAUAAUUCAUCAUACACGGCGUCAUAGGUCUUGCCACCGUAUUGCAAACUUUCCACGAUGGCUUCAGUGUCGAAGCUAGUGGAACAUGCUAGGGUUUUCUCCGAAUCCACAAGCUGUUCAGCUGGAAGUAACCGGCCGUGACAAGCGCAGUUGCCGUAAUGGAAGGCUCUAGAGUAAAUAUCUGGCUUGGCAAUCAACCGCCACCUGGAAAUAUCGGAACGUCUUUCAUCACCGGCGACUGGAGGAUUUCGUAUCGGAGCAUCUGCGAUUUUACAUGGUGCCGAUUGAUUGCAAGUUGCGAUUCGAGAAGUUUCAGAUUCCAUGCUUACGUUUCACGCUUUCGAGGAUCUCCACGAAAUUGCCUGAAACCGCUCAACGAGACCUAGUCGUCUUCUUUCUCUCGCUAUUCAUCCUCGCCGAAGUGUCCUCAUUGUUGCCCCCUUCGUUGGACGAGGCGACGAAUGAUAUUUUUAUCGACCUGAGCAUCCUUUAUACCAUCUCUUUUGUCCGUUGUGCUUCAUCCUGACCUCGUUCAUGCUCAUCAUCAUAUAAACCUCAAGGGUCUCUCACCGUCCCUCGAAUUUGUUACUUUCUACCUCUUGAUUGUGGAAGUGAGUAGGAGAGGUUCGUGUUGCUGUGAAGAAGCUAGCGUGAGAGGGAGCUUGGGUUUUUCUCUUACAUAUCUCCUCAAUUACUGCUUUCAGUUAUCUUUUAGUUCAAGAUGCAGAUCUUUGUAAAGACCUUGACUGGGAAGACCAUCACCCUCGAGGUGGAGAGCUCCGAUACAAUCGAUAACGUGAAGACGAAGAUCCAGGAUAAGGAGGGGAUUCCUCCUGACCAGCAGAGGUUGAUCUUUGCGGGCAAGCAAUUGGAGGACGGUAGAACGCUGGCGGAUUACAACAUACAGAAGGAGUCCACCUUGCACUUGGUGCUUAGGUUGCGGGGAGGCAUGCAGAUCUUCGUGAAGACCCUGACGGGAAAGACGAUUACCCUCGAGGUCGAGAGCUCAGACACAAUUGAUAACGUGAAGACGAAGAUUCAGGACAAGGAGGGCAUCCCACCCGACCAGCAGAGAUUGAUCUUUGCAGGUAAGCAGUUGGAAGACGGGCGCACCCUUGCUGACUACAACAUACAGAAGGAGUCCACUUUGCACUUGGUGCUUAGGUUGCGGGGAGGCAUGCAGAUCUUCGUGAAGACCCUGACGGGAAAGACGAUUACCCUCGAGGUCGAGAGCUCAGACACAAUUGACAACGUGAAGACAAAGAUUCAGGACAAGGAGGGCAUCCCACCCGACCAGCAGAGGCUGAUUUUUGCUGGGAAGCAGUUGGAGGAUGGGCGCACCCUUGCCGACUACAACAUCCAAAAAGAGUCUACCUUGCACUUGGUGCUUAGGUUGCGGGGAGGAAUGCAGAUUUUUGUGAAGACCUUGACAGGGAAGACGAUUACUCUCGAGGUAGAGAGCUCGGACACAAUUGAUAAUGUGAAGACAAAGAUCCAGGAUAAGGAGGGCAUCCCGCCCGACCAGCAGAGGUUGAUUUUUGCAGGAAAGCAAUUGGAAGACGGGCGCACCCUUGCUGACUACAACAUCCAGAAGGAGUCAACCUUGCAUCUGGUUCUGCGCUUGAGAGGUGGUAUGCAGAUUUUUGUGAAGACCUUGACGGGAAAGACGAUUACCCUCGAAGUUGAGAGCUCGGACACAAUUGACAAUGUAAAGACGAAGAUUCAGGACAAGGAGGGCAUCCCACCUGACCAGCAGAGGUUGAUUUUUGCAGGAAAGCAAUUGGAAGACGGGAGGACUCUUGCUGACUACAACAUUCAGAAGGAGUCCACUUUACACUUAGUGCUUAGGUUGAGGGGAGGCAUGCAGAUCUUCGUGAAGACCUUGACGGGGAAGACAAUUACCCUCGAGGUCGAGAGCUCGGAUACAAUUGACAAUGUAAAGACGAAGAUUCAGGACAAGGAGGGAAUCCCAC